GUCUAUAGCCAUACCACCAUGAACAUGCCCAAUCUCUUCUGAUCUAGGAAGCUAAGCAGGGUUGGGCCUGGUCAUUACUUGGAUGGGAGAAUAUAAGAGUCCAAGGACAGGAAGGAGUGUGCUAUGGAAC
This 130-nucleotide ribosomal RNA is filed under the name Jaculus jaculus (lesser Egyptian jerboa). Lineage: Eukaryota; Metazoa; Chordata; Mammalia; Rodentia; Dipodidae. The record is from RNAcentral.